This 448-nucleotide ribosomal RNA is filed under the name uncultured Planctomycetota bacterium. RNAcentral describes it as "bacterial SSU rRNA". It matches the Rfam family "Bacterial small subunit ribosomal RNA", at positions 217 to 656 of the family's 1533-position model. The record is from RNAcentral. Lineage: Bacteria; Pseudomonadati; Planctomycetota.
GCUUAGAGAGGGGUCAAUGUCCUAUCAGCUAGUUGGUAAGGUAAUGGCUUACCAAGGCUAAGACGGGUAGCCGGCCUGAGAGGGUGGUCGGCCACACUGGGACUGAGACACUGCCCAGACUCCUACGGGAGGCUGCAGUCGAGAAUCUUUCGCAAUGCCCGAAGGGGUGACGAAGCGACGCCGCGUGUGGGAAGAAGGCCUUCGGGUUGUAAACCACUGUCGGGAGUUAAGAAAUGUAAGGGUGUUAAUAGCAUCCUUACUUGACUAAGGCUCCGGAGGAAGCCACGGCUAACUCUGUGCCAGCAGCCGCGGUAAUACAGAGGCGGCAAGCGUUGUUCGGAAUUAUUGGGCGUAAAGAGCACGUAGGCGGCUUUGUAAGUCAGUUGUGAAAGCCUUCCGCUUAACGGAAGAACAGCAUCUGAUACUGCAAGGCUAGAGUGCGGAAGGG